This 349-nucleotide unclassified non-coding RNA is filed under the name soil metagenome. Its description in RNAcentral is "partial contains 5.8S ribosomal RNA, internal transcribed spacer 2, and large subunit ribosomal RNA". The stretch from base 1 to 120 matches the Rfam family "5.8S ribosomal RNA", at positions 35 to 154 of the family's 154-position model. The record is from RNAcentral.
GAUGAAGAACGAAGCGAAAUGCGAUAACUAAUGUGAAUUGCAGAAUUCCGUGAAUCAUCGAGUCUUUGAACGCACAUUGCGCCCCCUGGUAUUCCGGGGGGCAUGCCUGUCCGAGCGUCAUUGCUGCCCAUCAAGCACGGCUUGUGUGUUGGGUCCUCGUCCCCCCCGGGGGACGUGCCCGAAAGGCAGCGGCGGCACCGCGUCCGGUCCUCGAGCGUAUGGGGCUUUGUCACCCGCUCUGCAGGCCCGGCCGGCGCUGGCCGACGCGAAAGCAACCAUUUUUUCUCCAGGUUGACCUCGGAUCAGGGAGGGAUACCCGCUGAACUUAAGCAUAUCAAUAAGCGGAGGA